CACCAGGCCACUCUGGGCACUCGCUGAGGCGCAUGUCCUGCCCCUCGCAGACGCAGGGCAAUGGGAACAACCUUCAUGGGAUAAAAUCAACUUUCACCAGUACUCAACAACCCUUUCAAGUUUCCAACACGGCUGUUUUAUUGAGGUGAUUGGGGACUUGGCUGGAAAACCAAAGUUCACCUUUUCAAGAAUAAACACCACGUAAGAGGAUCAAUCCAUUCCUACUACCAGCACUUAACAAGCUGCAUCAUUCCAAGAACACUUCCAGACUUCCACAGCUGUGCGUAGAUGCCUCCUCUCCAAAUAAGCAGCAUAAAUCAAGAAACAACAUUUCAAGAUUCUUGACCAUGGCUCACGUGCCAUGCUAACAUAGCCAACCUGCAGAAGAGCACGGUUUCCAUCUUUAAGGCUUUCCCAUUCCAUCCAUCUCCAUCGGCCCAUGCACGUGUUUUGUGGCAUCCCCAGCACCAGAUGGAUGAGCCUCUGAAGGAACUAAUGAAGGAUCCAGGCCCAAGGGAAGAGGGACAAUAUGCAGCUCUACACAGAGAAAAUUGUUCAGAACUUUCAUUAUCCACGAGCAUAAAUGCACUAAUUUAAGAGAACUAAAGGCUUUAGAUAAAAUAACUGAGCCUGCACUUGGAGAUUUGUCCGAAUGGAACCAAAAGCCAGCUACCAAAUCUAGGGGACAAGUAUUUGCCGCAAGACAGAGGAACCUGGAUGUAAUACAAGGAUUGUAAUUUCAUACUCCUCUUGCACUUGCUGAUUCAAUGUUAAUGUGAUAAAAUGAAGAGCAGAGGUUUUGACUACA
Passer domesticus (house sparrow) is the source of this 808-nucleotide long non-coding RNA. RefSeq lists it as uncharacterized. The transcript is spliced from 5 exons. Lineage: Eukaryota; Metazoa; Chordata; Aves; Passeriformes; Passeridae. The record is from RefSeq and is a predicted model, not a curated record.